GGCUUUGUGGUCUAGUGGUAAGAUACCUGCUUUGGGUUUUUCUGCAUGCAGGUGAUCCCGGGUUCGAACCCCGGCGGAGCCC
This is a transfer RNA of Neolentinus lepideus HHB14362 ss-1, 82 nucleotides long. It matches the Rfam family "tRNA". From Rfam's summary of the family: Transfer RNA (tRNA) molecules are approximately 80 nucleotides in length. Their secondary structure includes four short double-helical elements and three loops (D, anti-codon, and T loops). Lineage: Eukaryota; Fungi; Basidiomycota; Agaricomycetes; Gloeophyllales; Gloeophyllaceae. The record is from Rfam.